AUGUGUUUUAGUUUUGUGUUUUAUAUGAAACAUGGUUUAUCACAGACUAAUGAGCAUACUCGCACCCUAAAGAGAGCAGCCCGAAAAAUGGAGCGCAGCUGGAGGAAAACAAAACUAGAGGUAUUUCGUAUUGCUUGGCGGGAAAGUAGCUACAGAAAAGCAUUAAAAACUGCUAGAUCUGAUUACUUUUCUUCUCUUUUAGAAGAAAACAAACAUAACCCCAGGUAUUUAUUCAAUACAGUGGCUAAAUUAAUGAAAAAUAUAGCCUCAACAAGUGUUGACAUUUCCCAACACCACAGCAGUAAUGACUUUAUGAACUACUUUACUUCUAAAAUCGAUACUAUUAGAGAUAAAAUUGCAACCAUUCAGCCGUCAGCUACAGUAUCACAUCAGACAGUGCACUAUAGACCCCCUGAGGAACAGUUCCACUUAUUCUCUACUAUAGGAGAGGAAGAAUUGUAUAAACUUGUUAAAUCAUCUAAACUUACAACAUGUAUGUUAGACCCUAUACCAUCUAAGCUCUUAAAAGAGGUGCUUCCAGAAGUCAUAGGUCCUCUUCUGACUAUUAUUAAUUCCUCAUUGUCAUUAGGAUAUGUCCCCAAAACCUUCAAACUGGCUGUUAUUAAGCCUCUCAUAAAAAAGCCACAACUUGACCCCAGAGAACUAGUUAAUUAUAGACCAAUCUCGAAUCUCCCUUUUCUGUCCAAGAUACUAGAAAAGGUGGUAUCCUCACAAUUAUAUUCCUUCUUAGAGAAAAAUGGUAUAUGUGAGGAUUUCCAGUCAGGAUUUAGACCGUAUCAUAGUACUGAAACUGCUCUCCUUAGAGUUACAAAUGAUCUGCUCUUAUCAUCUGAUCGUGGGUGUAUCUCUCUAUUAGUUUUAUUGGAUCUUAGUGCUGCGUUUGACACAAUUGACCACAACAUUAUUUUGCAUAGACUUGAACACUUUGUUGGCAUCAGUGGAAGUGCAUUAGCAUUACUUAUAUGUACUUAUAUGACCGCCAUCAGUUCGCAGCAGUGA
This 1020-nucleotide long non-coding RNA is filed under the name Carassius auratus (goldfish). RNAcentral's name for it is "lncRNA (ENSCARG00000042776.1)". The record is from RNAcentral. Lineage: Eukaryota; Metazoa; Chordata; Actinopteri; Cypriniformes; Cyprinidae.